Molecule: transfer RNA, 93 nt
Filed under: Cronartium ribicola 11-2
Lineage: Eukaryota; Fungi; Basidiomycota; Pucciniomycetes; Pucciniales; Coleosporiaceae
Description: tRNA-Und (NNN) (tRNA-Und-NNN-153-1)
Rfam family: tRNA
About the family: Transfer RNA (tRNA) molecules are approximately 80 nucleotides in length. Their secondary structure includes four short double-helical elements and three loops (D, anti-codon, and T loops).
Source: RNAcentral
GGUUAGGUAGCCUAGCAAUUAAGGCAGCCCAUACAAGUUGGGUCCGAUUACAGAUGCAGUACUUGGUCGCUGGUUUGAAUCCAGCUCUGACCA